UACAGAGGUCCCAAGCGUUGUUCGGAUUCACUGGGCGUAAAGGGUGCGUAGGCGGCCGGGUAAGUCUGACGUGAAAUCCCGCAGCUCAACUGCGGAACUGCGUCGGAUACUAUUCGGCUCGAGGAAUGGAGGGGAGACUGGAAUUCUCGGUGUAGCAGUGAAAUGCGUAGAUAUCGAGAGGAACACCAGUGGCGAAGGCGAGUCUCUGGACAUUUCCUGACGCUGAGGCACGAAGGCCAGGGGAGCAAACGGG
This 253-nucleotide ribosomal RNA is filed under the name uncultured bacterium. RNAcentral's name for it is "partial 16S ribosomal RNA". It matches the Rfam family "Bacterial small subunit ribosomal RNA", at positions 524 to 776 of the family's 1533-position model. The record is from RNAcentral.